RNAcentral lists this unclassified non-coding RNA (259 nucleotides) under Hevea brasiliensis (rubber tree). The record is from RNAcentral. Lineage: Eukaryota; Viridiplantae; Streptophyta; Magnoliopsida; Malpighiales; Euphorbiaceae.
GCGUAAGAGAGAGAAUUGGCAGCAUCAGUGACGAGCACUUCAUAGGACUUGGGCGUGUAAACUGCGACUCCCCUUUUGGGGUCGAAACUCGAGGUCGCUUGGGACUGAGAGUCUUGUUGUUUGUUGGUGCUGGCGCAUUGGAUUUUGGAGGUGCAAGGGAGUUUUUGGAGAGAAGGGGACAGAGAGAAUAGUGGUGCGGAGCGAGGGAAAGACAGAAGAGGAAGAGAGUGGCGAGGAACAGAGAGAGAGGGAAGAGAAG